AUGGGAGAUUCUCAGUUCUUGGCACUCUUCAAACACCAUGCAUUCUUAGGACAAGAAAUUAAGGAUCUGCAGUUGCGUGAAAGGCUGGAAGAUUUUGCAGAGAAGAUUGCUAAAAGGCUUGGACAAUCUCCUUUGGCAGCAAAAGUUGUGGGUUCUCAGUUGAAAGGGAAAACAUGUGUCGCCGCAUGGAAGGAUGCUCUAACGAUAAAGAUUGACAAACUAAGUGAGCCCAUGAGAGCUCUAUUGUGGAGUUAUCAGAAGUUAGAUCCAUGUCUGCAGAGGUGCUUCCUAUAUUGCAGCUUGUUUCCGAAAGGCCACAAGUAUGACACCGAUGAGUUGGUUUAUCUUUGGAUGGCAGAGGGCCUUGUUGAUUCAUGCAACCAAAACAAGAGAGUGGAAGAUAUUGGGAGGGAUUGCUUCAAGGAGAUGAUCUCUGUUUCGUUCUUUCAACCACUUAAUGAGAAAUACGCUAGCACACGCUAUGUUAUGCAUGAUCUCCUCCAUGAUCUGGCAGAAUCACUCUCCAAAGGGAACUACAUCAGAUUGGAAGAUGAUAAGGUGACAGAAAUACCAGCCACUGUUCAAUACCUAUCUGUUCGUGUUGAUAGUAUGAAGCAACACAAGUUAAGUAUCUGCAAGCUACAUCAUGUCCGCACUAUUAUUUGCAUAGACCCCCUAAUGGAUGAUGUAAGUGACCUUUUUCAUGAGAUACUACAAAAUUUGAAGAAGUUGAGUGUACUACGUUUGUCAUCUUACAGCAGUAGUAAGUUGCCAGAAUCUGUUGGUGAAUUGAAGCAUCUUCGGUAUUUGAACAUCAUCAGAACACUGAUUUCUUAUUUGCCAAGAUCACUGUGUACUCUUUACCACUUGCAGUUACUUCUGUUAAAUGAGAAAGUUGAGAGUUUCCUAGAGAAACUCUGCAAUUUAAGGAAGUUGCGGCGUCUUGAAUGCCGUGAUGAUAGAUUAUACGCCACAUACAAAGAAACACUGCCUCAAAUUCCUUACAUUGGUAACCUGGGUUUUCUUCAAGAAUUGGAGAAAUUUUCUGUGCAAAAGAAAAAGGGAUAUGAGUUGCAACAGCUGAGGGACAUGAACGAGAUUCAUGGCAGUUUAAGGGUCACAAAUCUUGAGAAUGUCACUAGGAAGGAUCAAGCCUUAGAAUCGAAGUUGUGUCAGAAAAGUCAUCUUGGCAAGCUUGCAUCUUGUUUGGAGUUGCAAGAAUAA
This 1224-nucleotide ribosomal RNA is filed under the name Triticum aestivum (bread wheat). Its description in RNAcentral is "partial small subunit ribosomal RNA". The record is from RNAcentral. Lineage: Eukaryota; Viridiplantae; Streptophyta; Magnoliopsida; Poales; Poaceae.